CAAUUUACAACAAUACAUUAUGAGCCACUUGAGGCCUACAGUGAAAAACAGAAUAUCACAAGAUAAAAAAUAGAAACAAGCCAUCUGUAAAAAUAAUUUAUGAUGUGUGGAUUUAUCUCACGAAAUGGAAACUUUCUUUUGAUUUAAGAGGCUGGAAACACUCUUAUUCUAGAAUCUAUGAAGGGACAUUUCUCAGUCCAUUGAGUCAAAUAGUGAAGAACCGAAUAUUUUGCAAUAAAAAUUUGAAAGAAACUAUCUUUGAAAAUGCUUUGCCAUGUGUGGAUUCAUGUCACAGGGCUAAAACUUUGUUUUGAUUCAAAAGUUUGUAAUCACUCUUUUUGUGGAAACUAUGAAGGAACAUGGAAACAAGCUAUCAGGAAAAACACUUUGCAAAGUGUGGAUUCAUAUCACCCAAUGGAACCUCUGUUUUGAUACACCUGGUUGGAAACACUUUUUUUGUACAAUCUAUGAAGGAAUAUUUUUGAGCAUAUUGAAGCCAAUAAUAAAAAACCAAAUAUCAUGUGAUAAAAACU
Molecule: long non-coding RNA, 533 nt
Filed under: Homo sapiens (human)
Lineage: Eukaryota; Metazoa; Chordata; Mammalia; Primates; Hominidae
Description: non-protein coding LINC00662:69
Source: RNAcentral